RNAcentral lists this unclassified non-coding RNA (326 nucleotides) under uncultured Microascales. Its description in RNAcentral is "partial contains 5.8S ribosomal RNA, internal transcribed spacer 2, and large subunit ribosomal RNA". The stretch from base 1 to 105 matches the Rfam family "5.8S ribosomal RNA", at positions 50 to 154 of the family's 154-position model. The record is from RNAcentral. Lineage: Eukaryota; Fungi; Ascomycota; Sordariomycetes; Microascales.
GAAAUGCGAUAAGUAAUGUGAAUUGCAGAAUUCAGUGAAUCAUCGAAUCUUUGAACGCACAUUGCGCCCGGCAGUAAUCUGCCGGGCAUGCCUGUCCGAGCGUCAUUUCAGCCCUCGAACCACUAUUCACGUAGCUGGAUCGGUGUUGGGGCACUACGGUGGAAUACCCGUAGGCCCCUAAAUGAAGUGGCGGUCCCGCCGCGGCGCCCCCAUGCGUAGUAACUUUCAGUCUCGCAUCGGGUCCCGGCGGAGGCCUGCCGUCAAGCCUAUUUUAUCUUUACAGAUGGUUUGACCUCGGAUCAGGUAGGGUUACCCGCUGAACUUAA